AUUGAACGCUGGCGGCAUGCUUUACACAUGCAAGUCGAACGGCAGCACGGGCUUCGGCCUGGUGGCGAGUGGCGAACGGGUGAGUAAUAUAUCGGAACGUACCCAGAAGUGGGGGAUAACGUAGCGAAAGUUACGCUAAUACCGCAUACGAUCUAUGGAUGAAAGCAGGGGACCGCAAGGCCUUGUGCUCCUGGAGCGGCCGAUAUCUGAUUAGCUAGUUGGUGAGGUAAAGGCUCACCAAGGCGACGAUCAGUAGCUGGUCUGAGAGGACGACCAGCCACACUGGAACUGAGACACGGUCCAGACUCCUACGGGAGGCAGCAGUGGGGAAUUUUGGACAAUGGGCGCAAGCCUGAUCCAGCAAUGCCGCGUGAGUGAAGAAGGCCUUCGGGUUGUAAAGCUCUUUUGUCAGGGAAGAAACGGUAGAGGCUAAUAUCCUUUGCUAAUGACGGUACCUGAAGAAUAAGCACCGGCGAACUACGU
This 483-nucleotide ribosomal RNA is filed under the name uncultured bacterium. RNAcentral's name for it is "partial 16S ribosomal RNA". It matches the Rfam family "Bacterial small subunit ribosomal RNA", at positions 30 to 506 of the family's 1533-position model. The record is from RNAcentral.